RNAcentral lists this ribosomal RNA (450 nucleotides) under uncultured Psychrobacter sp. RNAcentral describes it as "bacterial SSU rRNA". It matches the Rfam family "Bacterial small subunit ribosomal RNA", at positions 354 to 796 of the family's 1533-position model. The record is from RNAcentral. Lineage: Bacteria; Pseudomonadati; Pseudomonadota; Gammaproteobacteria; Moraxellales; Moraxellaceae.
GUGGGGAAUAUUGGACAAUGGGGGCAACCCUGAUCCAGCCAUGCCGCGUGUGUGAAGAAGGCCUUUUGGUUGUAAAGCACUUUAAGCAGUGAAGAAGACUCCAUGGUUAAUACCCAUGGACGAUGACAUUAGCUGCAGAAUAAGCACCGGCUAACUCUGUGCCAGCAGCCGCGGUAAUACAGAGGGUGCAAGCGUUAAUCGGAAUUACUGGGCGUAAAGCGAGCGUAGGUGGCUUGAUAAGUCAGAUGUGAAAGCCCCGGGCUUAACCUGGGAACGGCAUCUGAUACUGUUAGGCUAGAGUAGGUGAGAGGAAGGUAGAAUUCCAGGUGUAGCGGUGAAAUGCGUAGAGAUCUGGAGGAAUACCGAUGGCGAAGGCAGCCUUCUGGCAUCAUACUGACACUGAGGUUCGAAAGCGUGGGUAGCAAACAGGAUUAGAAACCCGGGUAGUCC